UAGAUUAUUAAUAUUUGGCUGAAGUCAUUCAAGAUUCUUUGUACUAGCUUAUAAGAUAGUAUCUAACAUUGAUUAUGCAUAAUUUAAUGAUUUGACUAGAUUAUUAAAGAAAGAAUGAAAAAGUUGUUUUUCAGAGGACAAAAUAAGAUUUAAUGCAUUUGUUUAUAGAUGUAGUGUACAACCUAAUGUUUUGAAUAUCCAAGGUCAAGGCUAGUGUUUGUGAUUCAGGUUUCUGGUACAUAAUAAGAGUGCACUAAAGGUUUGUACGGUAUUUAAAAGAAACACAGAAUAUAUUGAGCUAUUAGCAAGAAUUAAUGUUACACACCAUCUACUGGAUAUCAUAAUAUCAAGCAUUUUACAUUGCAUAGUAUACUGGGAGUUGUACAAUAUACUCUUUGAAAUAAUAAUACAUGUAUCAUGAUUUUGAAUUCUUAGCUUUUAUUGUUUAAACUGACAGAAAUAUUCAAGCUCACGAGUUUAUGCUCAGUAUUAAUGGAGACAUAAGAUGCCAGUAUCACCAUGGAAACUGCUGUAUGAAAAGUAUUUAUAUUCAGGAAAAUGAAAGAGAUAAAAAAGCAUUAGCAAUCAUCUAUUUCAUCUCUGUUAUAGGAAAGAAACCAGAGUGCAUAUGUUUUUAUUUCACUUCUUAUUGUUUUAUGUUGGUAAAAAAAAU
Molecule: long non-coding RNA, 673 nt
Filed under: Mytilus galloprovincialis (Mediterranean mussel)
Lineage: Eukaryota; Metazoa; Mollusca; Bivalvia; Mytilida; Mytilidae
Source: RNAcentral